RNAcentral lists this non-coding RNA (21 nucleotides) under Caenorhabditis elegans. Lineage: Eukaryota; Metazoa; Nematoda; Chromadorea; Rhabditida; Rhabditidae. The record is from RNAcentral.
UUUACUGGAUGUAUUAAUCUC